GGCUUGGCGACCUGCUCGCCCCCUCCUCCACCAGCGCGUCCACCGCCAGGCUUGGCCCCCGCUCGCCCCCUCCUACACGAGCACCUCGUGCCCUUCCCUUCUCGCACCUCGAGUCCCAGCCCGACCUCCACGACCCAAGUCUGACCGCCGCCUCCCCCAUCCGCAGCCGCCGUUGUUCCCAGCGAUAGGUCUUGGACGAGGUCUCUGUUGGUCCCUCCCUGGAGCUUGCCCGAUGCACAGCUUGUGACUGGUUUUCCUUGCUUCCAAUCUUGCUAAGAUCUGUGGCUGAACAAGGACUGGACGAGCCAGCUGGUGGGAAACUGCAAUGGACUUAAUCAAGAAUCUUUCAGAGCUGGUUUUCGCCCUUUCACUUAAGGAUGACUACAUUGCAGGUGUUCGGAGCAUUUCACGGACAGAAGAGGAUGACAAUCAUGAGGGCAUGGAACUGGAAGGUGAAGAACAAGGGGAAGAGCAGCAGCCACGGCGACCGAAGCCACAGCAGGAGCCACGGUUGAAUGGGAAGGUGUUGUAUGACAUAGCUGGUGGUACACCGCAUGGACGUUUUGCCAUAGGAAAUGGUGCUGUUAGGGCAGCUGAUGUCAUGGCUGCUGCAAAGAAAAAUAGGUCACAUCCAUCAAAUUCAGUGUCUAUGCAAAGCAUGGCUCGAGAAAUGGCACGCUUACGGCAUGCAAAUGAAAGUCUGCAACGAGACAACCGUGCAAAGGAUAUUGCUACAAAUUUGA
This is a long non-coding RNA of Panicum virgatum (switchgrass), 743 nucleotides long. RefSeq lists it as uncharacterized. The record is from RefSeq and is a predicted model, not a curated record. The transcript is spliced from 3 exons. NCBI's taxonomy places the organism in Eukaryota, Viridiplantae, Streptophyta, Magnoliopsida, Poales, Poaceae.